This is a non-coding RNA of Rattus rattus (black rat), 475 nucleotides long. The record is from the annotation of a RefSeq genome assembly. NCBI's taxonomy places the organism in Eukaryota, Metazoa, Chordata, Mammalia, Rodentia, Muridae.
GUUCUCCCCAGGCUUCCUCAUCAAAAUGAAGUGGCCUGUUAGGCUGUUGGUGCUGUUCUUCUGGAUUCCUGCUUCCAGAGGUGAUGUUGUGAUGACACAAACUCCAGUCUCCCUGUCUGUCAGCCUUGGAGGUCAAACCUCUAUCUCUUGCCGGUCUAGUCAGAGCCUGGUACACAGUGAUGGAAACACCUAUUUGUAUUGGUUCCUGCAGAAGCCAGGCCAGUCACCUCAGCUCCUCAUCUAUAAGGUUUCCAACCGAUUUUCUGGGGUCCCAGAUAGGUUCAGUGGUAGUGGGUCAGGGACAGAUUUCACACUCAAGAUCAGUAGAGUAGAGCCUGAGGAUUUGGGAGUUUAUUACUGCUACCAAGGUACACAUUAUCCUCCCACAGUGAUGCAGACCCUAACAAAAAUGUUCUUGGUUGGGGCAUCACAGCUGUCAAAUAAGUUGCUCAUCUGUUUGAGAGAAAAGUAUUGA